Solanum tuberosum (potato) is the source of this 375-nucleotide long non-coding RNA. RefSeq lists it as uncharacterized. NCBI's taxonomy places the organism in Eukaryota, Viridiplantae, Streptophyta, Magnoliopsida, Solanales, Solanaceae. The transcript is spliced from 2 exons. The record is from RefSeq and is a predicted model, not a curated record.
AUUUGUUUUCUUAGGUUUCAAUGAAUAUGAUGAUGAGAUUGCGGUAGAUGUUCAGUCGUAUUUUGAUAGAAUGCAACAAGCUUGCAAUUGAUCUUUUAGGCUGACAUGCUUUAGUUGGGCAAGUCCAAAUAUAGUUUUGAGGAAGUGGAAACACUGCGGAGAUGAAGAAAGAGGCUGCAAGAUCGACUAUAUAUAAUAACAUUUUACAUAUGUUUUUCGUUUAUUAUAUUAAGGCGUGUGAGCCUAUUAUGUUUUUAUGCAUUAGACGAAUAUUUUAGACAGUGUUUGCUGUAAAUACUUUUUGGUUACAUUCCAAUGGAGUCCAAUGAAGAUUGUUGCUUAUUAGUAAUUUGGAGCUAUCAAAGUUUUGCUCUA